GAUACAAGCUAGGAGUAUCAAGGAAUUAUUCCAAUCUCCGUUAUGGAAUAAAUGGACCUGUGGCGCUCUAGUGUCUCCGAUCUAAGAUCGGAAUACGAUCUAGACAUUUGAGACGAGAGCAAAGCGAUCAAAGAAUCGCGAAGAAGAGCACGCGGACAGGGUCGGCCCGGACAAGAGCUUGCGGCGAUGUGAUCCGGGGAGAGAAUGUGCGAGAUGCUACAGGGCGGACAGAAUCGAGAAGGAGGGAGGCGUGGACCGAUUCAGGAAGGUAGACGACCGGACAAGGACCGGAGAUCGGCGAGCGAUGAUCUGGACGGAGAUGGGCAACCGACGGCGGUUACUUGGAGGAUGGGUGAACGUCGGGUGUUGGGGGUGGAAGAGAUGGAUUAGGGAAAUUAUUUAAUUUUUAAUUGAUUGGAAUCAAAGUACAUAAAAGUGCCCUUUAUAGGGUAAUACAGUAGGGUGCAAAAUGUAAAAUUUACACUACUACUAAUUAAGUGUUUUUCACACUAUUACAACAUUUAUUUAAUUAAAAUAAAACUGAUUACUCAACUAACCCGGUUAACCAUUUUACUUCUCAUAAUCGGUAAUCCAUAUGGAUGGUCUCCUCUCUCGAGUAGAUUUCUUUCUUACUAGCUCGCCUGAAGAAUGCUCUCCACCGCCGGUUAAUAGCUCCUGAUUGGUCUUUUCCAUUAGCUCCACAGACUGUGACAAAUCCCUAACCAUUGCAUCUGUAUCAUGUUCACCUCCCCAAAGAUUCACCUUGUCCUCAAGGUGGAUAGAAGGAAAAAUUUCCAGCAGCUUGGCAUUAUCUUCCCACGAUGAAUCUUCCAGAAGUGAUCCAUUCCAUUGCACUAGUGAUUGAGGUACUUUCUUGCCCUGUUUAUAUAUGAUCCUGCAAUCCAGAAUUGAUAUAGGGUAUAAUAUGGGAUUGUUACUUACUGAAAUUAGUGGGUGUGCUUCUAAUUUUGUAGGUUCUGGACCAUGGAAUGUCUUGAGCUUAGAUAUGUGGAAGCAAUCAUGAAUUCUGCUCCCUUGAGGCAAUUCUAACUUGUAAGCAACCUUGCUUAUUUUUUCUUUAAUUUUAUAAGGCCCAAAAAUUUUUUGACACAAUUUGUUGUGCAGACGGAAUGCCACCGUGAUCUGUCGAUAUGGUUGAAGCUUAACUAGUACCAGGUCUCCCACUUCAAAUUCAAUUUCUUUCCUCUUUUUAUCUGCAUUUGCUUUCAUUCUGCUUUGGGCUUUGAACAGAUUUUUCUUCACAUUUUCUAUUGCUUCAUUUCUUGAUUGUAUUUCUCCCUCCACUGCCUCUAUAGUUGAUGAUUCAGUAGCAAAGUUUGGAAUUAAUGUAGCUUCUUUACCAUAUAGAGUUUGAAACGGAGUUUGACCCAAUGAUGCAUUAUAAUUUGUGUUGAACCACAAUUCCGCCCAAGGCAGUAAUUUGAGCCAGCCUUUGGGUUGUUCAUGAGCUAUAGCUCUCAGAUACAUCUCUAUACCUCUAUUGACCACUUCUGUUUGGCCAUCACUCUGUGGGUGGUAAGCAGAAGUGAAAUUUAGUUUUGUACCACUCAACCUAUUCAGUUCCUUCCAAAACCUGGAGACAAAGACUUUAUCCCUAUCUGAUACAAUGGAGUUGGGAUAACCAUGUAGUCUAAUAAUUUCAUUCACGAAAAAUUCAGCAACCAUAUUUGCAUUGUAAUUUGUAGAGAGAGCUCCCAAAUGGCAUGAUUUAGAUAAUCUAUCAACAACUACAAUUAUAACAGUUUUAUUUUGUACCUUGGGCAAACCUGUAAUGAAAUCCACGGAGAUGUCAUGCCAUACCGAUGGUGGGAUGGGUAAGGGCAUCAAUAACCCAUUACUCUUCUGAUUUGUAGUCUUUGUCUUCUGACAAAUUAUACAUUCCUUUACAUACACCCUUAUGUCUUUCAUCAUUUCUUGCCACCAAAAUUUUUUAGAGAUUCUGUGAAAUGUUCUUUCGACACCCGAAUGGCCACCAAUAUACCCAUCAUGGAAUUCUUUAAUAACCUUUAAAGUUAUUCCCGACUCUUGUAAUAAGAAUAUACUUCCCUUGAAAAAAAUCAAUCCAUCCCUGAAAUCAUACCCUUGUGCUUUUAGGUUCUCCUCUUGAAUUUUCAGAAUUACCUCUUUUAUUUUUUGUGAUUGAGAAUUGAAUCUUUUUACCUCCUCAAUAAGUGAAUUAAUAGGAACUGAGAAUGAGAGCAUAGAUCCCUUUACAUUUUCAGAUUUGUUGGAAUAUAGAACUUCCUCUUCCUCUGAUUCAUAGCUUCUGGAUAGGGCAUCAGCUACUUGGUUGAAUUUUCCUGGUUUAUAAAUGAUGGUAAAAUCAUACCCCAACAGUUUACAAAGGAACACCUGCUGCUCGGGAGUUUGUAUAACUUGGGUUAAUAAGUUUUUUAAACUCCUAUGGUCUAUUUUUAUAAUAAAAUAUCUACCAAGGAGAUAAUAUCUCCAUUUUGCCACAGAUUGAGUAAUAGCAUACAUCUCCUUGAUGUAGACUGAAGCUGCUGAGAGUCUACCACUGAUCUUGCUGCUGAAAAAGGAAAUAGGAUGUUUUUCUUGUAGUAGUACAGCCCCUAUCCCCGUAUUGCAUGCAUCUGUUUCCACUGUAAAUUCUUUAUUAAAAUCUGGAAAUUGAAGUAUAGGAGCUGAGGUCAUGGCAGAUUUCAGUAUUUCGAAGCUUUUAGUAGCUUCCUCAGACCAUUUGAAGGCAUCUUUCUUUAGUUAGUCAUGGGAGUGGCUAACUGAGCAUACCCUUGAAUAAACCUUCUAUAAUACCCACUCAAGCCCAAAAAUCCUCGUAGUUGUUUCAAGGUUCUUGGCACAGGCCAAUCCACUAUUGCUUGGAUUUUAGCUGGGUCUGGAUUUACCCCAUCUUGGCUGAUUAUGUGACCCAAGAAUCCCAUAGUAGGUUUCCCAAAUCAGCAUUUAGACUUCUUGGCAAGGAGUUGAUUCUUUUUCAGCACAUCAAAAAUAAUCUUCAAAUGCUCUAAAUGAUUCUGUAAAGAAGAACUAUAUACUAGAAUAUCGUCGAAGAAAAUAAUAACAAAUUUCCUCAAAUAUUGUUGAAAAACCUGAUUCAUUACUGCUUGAAAUGUGGCCGGGGCAUUUGUGAGGCCAAAGGGCAUCACCAAAAAUUCAUAAUGACCUUGAUGAGUCCUAAAGGCAGUUUUCCCAAUAUCUGAUGGAUUGAUUCUGAUCUGGUGGAAACCUGAUCUUAAAUCCAAUUUUGAAAAAAUCAUAGAUCCUCUUAAUUCCCCUAGUAGCUCGUCGACAGUGGGAAUUGGAAAUUUAUCUUUGAUAGUUAGAGCAUUGAGAGCUCUAUAAUCAACACAGAGUCUAUAUCCCCCGUCCUUUUUCUUUACUAGCAAGACAGGUGAUGAGUAAGGGCUAGUGCUAGGUUGGAUUGUGCCUUGUUGAAGUAAUUCCCUUACUAAUUUUUCAAUUUCUUCCUUUUGAAACUGGGGGUAUCUGUAUGGUCUGACAUUUACCGGGGCUGAAUUGGGCUCAAGAUGAAUGUAGUGGUCAUACUCUCUAAAAGGAGGAAGACCCUGAGGCUCUGUAAAAAUUUCUUCAUUUUCUUCCACAAUUUCAUUUAUUUCUGUUUUUUCAGAACUGAGCAUCAAACUGCUUGAGGUGUCUACUGCCUCAAAAUAACAUAAGAAUGCCUCUGAAGAUAUCUUAACUAAUGACUUCAGUUGCCCCGUAGUAGGAGGAUCAGUAUCCAGCCAUGAUAUGCCUUGCCACACCACUUGUUCUCCUUUCCAUUGAAAUUUCAUGACCAAGUCUUUAUAAUUAGAAAUAACAUCACCCAACUGUUUCAACCAUUGAGUACCUAUCACAAUAUUUGCCCCAGCCAUAGGUAAAAGGAACAGAUCAAGGAUUAUUAUGACUCCUUGUAUUUUUAUUUUCACACUCCUACAGACUUUAUCACAAACUAGCUUUUCUCCACUUCCCGUGGACACCCUGAAUGAAUUUAUAGCACAGAUAGCUAACUGUAAAUUUUUAGCCACAUCCUCCUGCAUAAAAUUGUGGGUAGAUCCAGUGUCAAUAAGCACACUGGCACUCUGACUUUUGAUAAACCCCUCUAAUCUGAUAGUUCUAAUACCAAUCUUCCCUUGUAGAGCUUGAAGACUAAUUUCAGAUUCUUCCUCGAUUUCCAGAAUUUUAAUCUCACCGUCAUCUUCUAUUUCUUCCUCAUUGGGCAAUUCCCAGAAUGUAUUAUCCUCAGCUGAAAAUCUGUAUAGUCUGCCUUUGCACUUGUGCCCUGGAUUAAAUUUUUCAUCGCAAUUAAAACAAAGACCCUUGGAGGUUCUUUCUUUUCUUUCUGCAUAUGUCAGCCUUUUAAAAUUUGGUGUAGCUGUAUUUCCAGAUUUGAUGUUAUUUGUGGAGUUUGAAAUGUUUGAUGUGAUUGUGCUGCCCAGAGAGUUGUUUCCAGCAUUUAAAGUAUUGUCACCACCUGUUUUUGUGAAAUAAGAUCUGUUCUGAUAUGGUUUAUAUCCUGCUUUAGAACUUGAAGCCCCCGUUCCUUGUUUUUCUAAGUGAACAGCCAAUUCCAUGGCUUCUUGUAGAUCCUCUAGCUUGGCUCUGACCACUUCCGUUUGAAUUUCAUCCUUCAAACCUGAUUCGAACAUUUCAAGUAAUAGCCAAUCUGGAAUUCCCACCACUUUAGAAGAAUAAUCUUCAAACCUUUCUACAAAAUCAGCCACUGUAGUAAUUUGAACUAGUUUGCUUAAUCUCCCACCUGGAAUAGUAUAAGUUGUAGGAUUAAAUUUUUUUAACAAAGAUCUCACGAAUGCAGGCCAUGUUGACAAGUAAUUGCUAGAUUCCAUCCAUAAGAACCAUUUUAGAGCCACACCCUGCAUAUUGAAUGAAGCUAUAAUUAAUUUCUAAUCUUCUGGUGUGUUAUGGAAAAUAAAGAAUCUCCUAGCCAUGAAUAUCCAUAGCUCUGGUUCGUUGCCGUCGAAUCGGGGCAUAUCAAAUUUGAUGUGUUUAGGUGGGAUGUAGUCGGCAUUUCCAUAUAUACUAACUGCAUAAGAUGGCCUUUCUGGAUCAAUAAUACACUACAAAAAACCAGCGCAGUUCUGGCGGCAUAUUCGUUGUUAAUUAUUUCAGAAUCACCGGUCUCUAUUUUUUUGCCAAUAAUUACCUCCAGUUGUUUUCCCAGCUGCAUAGAAUUGUGAUUAAUAAGGUUCCGAAGUUCCGUCAUCUCUCUAGUUUGAGAUAGUUGAAAUUCUUGCAGUCUCUUCAUAUUUGCCUCAAUCUCUUCCAUUGGGGCAGGUCUUGCCAUCUAGAAAUUCCUGAAAUUUAGAGUACAAAAAUAGAUGAAAGCACCAGUUGAUACAAGCUAGGAGUAUCAAGGAAUUAUUCCAAUAUCCGAUAUGGAAUAAAUGGACCUGUGGAGCUCUAGUGUCUCCGAUCUAAGAUCGGAAUACGAUCUAGACGAUGAGACAAAAAAAGCAGUGCGAUCUAAGAAUCGCGACGAAGAGCCCGCCGGACAGGAAACAGGACGGCAGAUCGGAGAACUCGCCGGACAGAGAUGUGUAGAGUUGGAGACGAGAGCUGGGUGAUCUAAAAAAUACGAUGAAGGACUUGCCGGGCAGGCGCANNNNNNNNNNNNNNNNNNNNNNNNNNNNNNNNNNNNNNNNNNNNNNNNNNNNNNNNNNNNNNNNNNNNNNNNNNNNNNNNNNNNNNNNNNNNNNNNNNNNUACGUCCACGUCAGUCCCCAGCAUGGUGAGUUCUUUGUCCUUGCAUUUGCCUGUGCCAUGACCUGUUCUAAAGAUAGACCUACACACGUAAUCAAACUGGGUUUUGCAUUUAAAAUAUAUGCCCAUAGAUCCUUGGAGAACUUGCACUUGAAGAAGACAUGGUCUUGUGAUUCCCAUGUCCCCCCACAUAAUAUGCAGUCUGUGUUCCCCCCUCCCAUUCUACCCGCCCAGUCAGCUCUCAUGGAUAUUUUGGACCACCUGGCCCUCCAGAGUGUUAUGCUGAAUUUCCUUACACUAGUCGUCCAAACCCCCUCCCCGUAUUGAUCUAUUGGCUCAGUAUUCCUGACGGAGUCCCAAGCGUUCUUGAAAGUCAGGGAAGUCCCUUUUCCUACCCAGGUGUAAUUAUAAUCAGCAUCACACUUUAGGUUCCCCUCUAUCACAUCCUUCUUGUCAAUGAUUUCAGCCCAUAGGGCCGAAUCCGAGUUUGGGUGCUUCUCUAUAUCUCUGAGAGCGCGUCCACCCACGUAUCUCCCCCUCAUCCAUGAUGCCCAGAUCGAGUCAUCUGCCGACCAUAUUCUACCCAACCUUAUCAUCCUCGCCGCUUCAGCGGACUCUCUGAAGCACCUCAGUCCCAUUCCACCCUCCUUUUUGGGGAGGGUCAUCUGGUUUCAUCGGACAUCUUGCUUCCCACUCCACAUAUAUCUGUAGGAGAUGGAUCUCAAUUCUUCAAGGGUAUCCGCCGGGAGUCUGCUCGACAUAUUCCAGAAAUUGAAUAUGCCCAUUAUACCCCAGUGAUACAGCUGAACCCUGCCCGCAUGAGACAACAACCUUGUUUUCCACCCCUCUACCAUCUUAUUGACUCUUUCAAUUAGGGGGGGCGCAGUCCUUUGUGUAGAGGAUCCUAGGUGAUAGAGGCAGCCCAAGAUACGUUAUGUUGGGUAAUGUUUUUCACACUAUUACAACAUUUAUUUAAUUAAAAUAAAACUGAUUACUCAACUAACCCGGUUAACCAUUUUACUUCUCAUAAUCGGUAAUCCAUAUGGAUGGUCUCCUCUCUCGAGUAGAUUUCUUUCUUACUAGCUUGCCUGAAGAAUGCUCUCCUCCGCCGGUUAAUAGCUCCUGAUUGGUCUUUUCCAUUAGCUCCACAGACUGUGACAAAUCCCUAACCAUUGCAUCUGUAUCAUGUUCACCUCCCCAAAGAUUCACCUUGUCCUCAAGGUGGAUAGAAGGAAAAAUUUCCAGCAGCUUGGCAUUAUCUUCCCACGAUGAAUCUUCCAGAAGUGAUCCAUUCCAUUGCAUUAGUGAUUGAGGUACUUUCUUGCCCUGUUUAUAUAUGAUCCUGCAAUCCAGAAUUGAUAUAGGGUAUAAUAUGGGAUUGUUACUUACUGAAAUUAGUGGGUGUGCUUCUAAUUUUGCAGGUUCUAGACCAUGGAAUGCCUUGAGCUUAGAUAUGUGGAAGCAAUCAUGAAUUCUGCUCCCUUGAGGCAAUUCUAACUUGUAAGCAACCUUGCUUAUUUUUUCUUUAAUUUUAUAAGGCCCAAAAAUUUUUUGACACAAUUUGUUGUGCAGACGGAAUGCCACCGUGAUCUGUCGAUAUGGUUGAAGCUUAACUAGUACCAGGUCUCCCACUUCAAAUUCAAUUUCUUUCCUCUUUUUAUCUGCAUUUGCUUUCAUUCUGCUUUGGGCUUUGAACAGAUUUUUCUUCACAUUUUCUAUUGCUUCAUUCCUUGAUUGUAUUUCUCCCUCCACUGCCUCUAUAGUUGAUGAUUCAGUAGCAAUGUUUGGAAUUAAUGUAGCUUCUUUACCAUAUAGAGUUUGAAACGGAGUUUGACCCAAUGAUGCAUUAUAAUUUGUGUUGAACCACAAUUCCGCCCAAGGCAGUAAUUUGAGCCAGCCUUUGGGUUGUUCAUGAGCUAUAGCUCUCAGAUACAUCUCUAUACCUCUAUUGACCACUUCUGUUUGGCCAUCGCUCUGUGGGUGGUAAGCAGAAGUGAAAUUUAGUUUUGUACCACUCAACCUAUUCAGUUCCUUCCAAAACCUGGAGACAAAGACUUUAUCCCUAUCUGAUACAAUGGAGUUGGGAUAACCAUGUAGUCUAAUAAUUUCAUUCACGAAAAAUUCAGCAACCAUAUUUGCAUUGUAAUUUGUAGAGAGAGCUCCCAAAUGGCAUGAUUUAGAUAAUCUAUCAACAACUACAAUUAUAACAGUUUUAUUUUGUACCUUGGGCAAACCUGUAAUGAAAUCCACAGAGAUGUCAUGCCAUACCGAUGGUGGGAUGGGUAAGGGAUCAAUAACCCAUUACUCUUCUGAUUUGUAGUCUUUGUCUUCUGACAAAUUAUACAUUCCUUUACAUACACCCUUAUGUCUUUCAUCAUUCCUUGCCACCAAAAAUUUUUAGAGAUUCUGUGAAAUGUUCUUUCGACACCCGAAUGGCCACCAAUAUACCCAUCAUGGAAUUCUUUAAUAACCUUUAAAGUUAUUCCCGACUCUUGUAAUAAGAAUAUACUUCCCUUGAAAAAAAUCAAUCCAUCCCUGAAAUCAUACCCUUGUGCUUUUAGGUUCUCCUCUUGAAUUUUCAGAAUUACCUCUUUUAUUUUUUGUGAUAGAGAAUUGAAUCUUUUUACCUCCUCAAUAAGUGAAUUAAUAGGAACUGAGAAUGAGAGCAUAGAUCCCUUUACAUUUUCAGAUCUGUUGGAAUAUAGAACUUCCUCUUCCUCUGAUUCAUAGCUUCUGGAUAGGGCAUCAGCUACUUGGUUGAAUUUUCCUGGUUUAUAAAUGAUGGUAAAAUCAUACCCCAACAGUUUACAAAGGAACACCUGCUGCUCGGGAGUUUGUAUAACUUGGGUUAAGAAGUUUUUUAAACUCCUAUGGUCUGUUUUUAUAAUAAAAUAUCUACCAAGGAGAUAAUGUCUCCAUUUUGCCACAGAUUGAGUAAUAGCAUACAUCUCCUUGAUGUAGACUGAAGCUGCUGAGAGUCUACCACUGAUCUUGCUGCUGAAAAAGGAAAUAGGAUGUUUUUCUUGUAGUAGUACAGCCCCUAUCCCCGUAUUGCAUGCAUCUGUUUCCACUGUAAAUUCUUUAUUAAAAUCUGGAAAUUGAAGUAUAGGAGCUGAGGUCAUGGCAGAUUUCAGUAUUUCGAAGCUUUUAGUAGCUUCCUCAGACCAUUUGAAGGCAUCUUUCUUUAGUAAGUUAGUCAUGGGAGUGGCUAACUGAGCAUACCCUUGAAUAAACCUUCUAUAAUACCCACUCAAGCCCAAAAAUCCUCGUAGUUGUUUCAAGGUUCUUGGCACAGGCCAAUCCACUAUUGCUUGGAUUUUAGCUGGGUCUGGAUUUACCCCAUCUUGGCUGAUUAUGUGACCCAAGAAUCCCAUAGUAGGUUUCCCAAAUGAGCAUUUAGACUUCUUGGCAAGGAGUUGAUUCUUUUUCAGCACUUCAAAAAUAAUCUUCAAAUGCUCUAAAUGAUUCUGUACAGAAGAACUAUAUACUAGAAUAUCGUCAAAGAAAAUAAUAACAAAUUUCCUCAAAUAUUGUUGAAAAACCCGAUUCAUUACUGCUUGAAAUGUGGCCGGGGCAUUUGUGAGGCCAAAGGGCAUCACCAAAAAUUCAUAAUGACCUUGAUGAGUCCUAAAGGCAGUUUUCCCAAUAUCUGAUGGAUUGAUUCUGAUCUGGUGGAAACCUGAUCUUAAAUCCAAUUUUGAAAAAAUCAUAGAUCCUCUUAAUUCCCCUAGUAGCUCGUCGACAGUGGGAAUUGGAAAUUUAUCUUUGAUAGUUAGAGCAUUGAGAGCUCUAUAAUCAACACAGAGUCUAUAUCCCCCGUCCUUUUUCUUUACUAGUAAGACAGGUGAUGAGUAAGGGCUAGUGCUAGGUUGGAUUGUGCCUUGUUGAAGUAAUUCCCUUACUAAUUUUUCAAUUUCUUCCUUUUGAAACUGGGGGUAUCUGUAUGGUCUGACAUUUACCGGGGCUGAAUUGGGCUCAAGAUGAAUGUAGUGGUCAUACUCUCUAAAAGGAGGAAGACCCUGAGGCUCUGUAAAAAUUUCUUCAAUUUCUUCCACAAUUUCAUUUAUUUCUGUUUUUUCAGAACUGAGCAUCAAACUGCUUGAGGUGUCUACUGCCUCAGAAUAACAUAAAAAUGCCUCUGCAGAUAUCUUAACUAAUGACUUCAGUUGCCCCAUAGUAGGAGGAUCAGUAUCCAGCCAUGAUAUGCCUUGCCACACCACUUGUUCUCCUUUCCAUUGAAAUUUCAUGACCAAGUCUUUAUAAUUAGAAAUAACAUCACCCAACUGUUUCAACCAUUGAGUACCUAUCACAAUAUUUGCCCCAGCCAUAGGUAAAAGGAACAGAUCAAGGAUUAUUAUGACUCCUUGUAUUUUUAUUUUCACACUCCUACAGACUUUAUCACAAACUAGCUUUUCUCCACUUCCUGUGGACACCCUGAAUGAAUUUAUAGCACAGAUAUCUAACUGCAAAUUUUUAGCCACAUCCUCCUGCAUAAAAUUGUGGGUAGAUCCAGUGUCAAUAAGCACACUGACACUCUGACUUUUGAUAAACCCCUCUAAUCUGAUAGUUCUAAUACCAAUCUUCCCUUGUAGAGCUUGAAGACUAAUUUCAGAUUCUUCCUCGAUUUCCAGAAUUUUAAUCUCACCGUCAUCUUCUAUUUCUUCCUCAUUGGGCAAUUCCCAGAAUGUAUUAUCCUCAGCUGAAAAUCUGUAUAGUCUGCCUUUGCACUUGUGCCCUGGAUUAAAUUUUUCAUCGCAAUUAAAACAAAGACCCUUGGAGGUUCUUUCUUUUCUUUCUGCAUAUGUCAGCCUUUUAAAAUUUGGUGUAACUGUAUUUCCAGAUUUGAUGUUAUUUGUGGAGUUUGAAAUGUUUGAUGUGAUUGUGCUGCCCAGAGAGUUGUUUCCAGCAUUUAAAGUAUUGUCACCACCUGUUUUUGUGAAAUAAGAUCUGUUCUGAUAUGGUUUAUAUCCUGCUUUAGAACUUGAAGCCCCCGUUCCUUGUUUUUCUAAGUGAACAGCCAAUUCCAUGGCUUCUUGUAGAUCCUCUAGCUUGGCUCUGACCACUUCCGUUUGAAUUUCAUCCUUCAAACCUGAUUCGAACAUUUCAAGUAAUAGCCAAUCUGGAAUUCCCACCACUUUAGAAGAAUAAUCUUCAAACCUUUCUACAAAAUCAGCCACUGUAGUAGUUUGAACUAGUUUGCUUAAUCUCCCACCUGGAAUAGUAUAAGUUGUAGGAUUAAAUUUUUUUAACAAAGAUCUCACGAAUGCAGGCCAUGUUGACAAGUAAUUGCUAGAUUCCAUCCACAAGAACCAUUUUAGAGCCACACCCUGCAUAUUGAAUGAAGCUAUAAUUAAUUUCUGAUCUUCUGGUGUGUUAUGGAAAAUAAAGAAUCUCCUAGCCAUGAAUAUCCAUAGCUCUGGUUCGUUGCCGUCGAAUCGGGGCAUAUCAAAUUUGAUGUGUUUAGGUGGGAUGUAGUCGGCAUUUCCAUACAUACUAACUGCAUAAGAUGGCCUUUCUGGAUCAAUAAUAGCAUCCUGUUUUGAUUUGCUUGAAUCACCCGUUCUGAAAUCAUUGUUAAUUAUUUCAGAAUCACCGAUCUCUAUUUUUUUGCCAAUAAUUACCUCCAGUUGUUUUCCCAGUUGCAUAGAAUUGUGAUUUAUAAGGUUUCGAAGUUCCGUCAUCUCUCUAGUUUGAGAUAGUUGAAAUUCUUGCAGUCUCUUCAUAUUUGCCUCAAUCUCUUCCAUUGGGGCAGGUCUUGCCAUCUAGAAAUUCCUGAAAUUUAGAGUACAAAAAUAGAUGAAAGCACCAGUUGAUACAAGCUAGGAGUAUCAAGGAAUUAUUCCAAUCUCCGUUAUGGAAUAAAUGGACCUGUGGCGCUCUAGUGUCUCCGAUCUAAGAUCGGAAUACGAUCUAGACGUUUGAGACGAGAGCAAAGCGAUCAAAGAAUCGCGAAGAAGAGCACGCGGACAGGGUCGGCCCGGACAGGAGCUUGCGGCGAUGUGAUCCGGGGAGAGAAUGUGCGAGAUGCUACAGGGCGGACAGAAUCGAGAAGGAGGGAGGCGUGGACCGAUUCAGGAAGGUAGACGACCGGACAAGGACCGGAGAUCGGCGAGCGAUGAUCUGGACGGAGAUGGGCAACCGACGGCGGUUACUUGGAGGAUGGGUGAACGUCGGGUGUUGGGGGUGGAAGAGAUGGAUUAGGGAAA
RNAcentral lists this long non-coding RNA (11929 nucleotides) under Zostera marina. RNAcentral describes it as "long non-coding RNA (ZMAR_LNC003270)". Lineage: Eukaryota; Viridiplantae; Streptophyta; Magnoliopsida; Alismatales; Zosteraceae. The record is from RNAcentral.